RNAcentral lists this ribosomal RNA (467 nucleotides) under uncultured bacterium. RNAcentral's name for it is "partial 16S ribosomal RNA". It matches the Rfam family "Bacterial small subunit ribosomal RNA", at positions 29 to 507 of the family's 1533-position model. The record is from RNAcentral.
ACGAACGCUGGCGGCGUGCUUCACACAUGCAAGUCGAACGGAAAGGCCCUGCUUUUGUGGGGUGCUCGAGUGGCGAACGGGUGAGUAACACGUGAGUAACCUGCCCUUGACUUUGGGAUAACUUCAGGAAACUGGGGCUAAUACCGGAUAGGAGCUCCUGCUGCAUGGUGGGGGUUGGAAAGUUUCGGCGGUUGGGGAUGGACUCGCGGCUUAUCAGCUUGUUGGUGGGGUAGUGGCUUACCAAGGCUUUGACGGGUAGCCGGCCUGAGAGGGUGACCGGCCACAUUGGGACUGAGAUACGGCCCAGACUCCUACGGGAGGCAGCAGUGGGGAAUAUUGCACAAUGGGCGGAAGCCUGAUGCAGCAACGCCGCGUGCUGGAUGACGGCCUUCGGGUUGUAAACCGCUUUCGCCUGUGACGAAGCGUGAGUGACGGUAAUGGGUAAAGAAGCACCGGCUAACUACGUG